UAGGGAAUCUUCGGCAAUGGGGGGAACCCUGACCGAGCAACGCCGCGUGAGUGAAGAAGGUUUUCGGAUCGUAAAGCUCUGUUGUUAAGGAAGAACGAGUGUGAGAAUGGAAAGUUCAUGCUGUGACGGUACUUAACCAGAAAGGGACGGCUAACUACGUGCCAGCAGCCGCGGUAAUACGUAGGUCCCGAGCGUUGUCCGGAAUUAUUGGGCGUAAAGCGAGCGCAGGCGGUUAGAAAAGUCUGAAGUGAAAGGCAGUGGCUCAACCAUUGUAGGCUUUGGAAACUGUUUAACUUGAGUGCAGAAGGGGAGAGUGGAAUUCGAUGUGUAGCGGUGAAAUGCGUAGAUAUAUGGAGGAACACCGGUGGCGAAAGCGGCUCUCUGGUCUGUAACUGACGAUGAGGCUCGAAAGCGUGGGGAGCGAACAGG
Molecule: ribosomal RNA, 429 nt
Filed under: Bacteroidota bacterium
Lineage: Bacteria; Pseudomonadati; Bacteroidota
Description: Bacteroidetes bacterium partial 16S ribosomal RNA
Rfam family: Bacterial small subunit ribosomal RNA
Source: RNAcentral